GGAGCUGAUCUUCAUAAGCUUGUUUCGGAGAAAGUAGUGCUAAAGUAACGUUCUUCCCAUGGUGUUUGAAGGUAUAUCGAUUGGUAUAACCAUCAUGCAAUACUCAGCGAUCAAAUUGCCAUGGUCUACCUAACAAUAAGUAACCAACAUGUAUUGGCACUACAUCGCAAAUAACUUCGUCGCUGUAUUUGCCAAUCGAGAAAGUGAUGACAGGUUGCAUAGUAACUUUGAGCUCACCACCAUCAUUGAGC
This 251-nucleotide long non-coding RNA is filed under the name Gossypium barbadense (sea-island cotton). Its description in RNAcentral is "long non-coding RNA (GBAR_LNC022479)". Lineage: Eukaryota; Viridiplantae; Streptophyta; Magnoliopsida; Malvales; Malvaceae. The record is from RNAcentral.